This is a long non-coding RNA of Oncorhynchus nerka (sockeye salmon), 910 nucleotides long. RefSeq lists it as uncharacterized. NCBI's taxonomy places the organism in Eukaryota, Metazoa, Chordata, Actinopteri, Salmoniformes, Salmonidae. The record is from RefSeq and is a predicted model, not a curated record. The transcript is spliced from 5 exons.
UGAAGAGGACAUGCAUCACCUGUGCAUUUUGAGGGGAGUGGAGAAGCAGCUGUGGUGUAGCAGAGUCAUUCAGGAAAAAAUCCUGGACCCAUGGGGGCUCGUCCAGGUGGUCUUCAACAACAAGGAGGUGACUGGUAUUAAGGUGCAGUCUAGCACUUUUUCACUGAAAAAGUGGCAAAGGUCCAUUUACCUAUUUGCAUAAAUACAUGUUGACAGAAAAUGAAAUGAUACAUUCUAAUCUCUUGCCUCAUUUUUAUUUCCUUGGUAGAAGGAUCUAUGGCCUUGUCAAGAGGAGGUCAGAGUUCACCUAUUAUGAGGACGCCCAGGUUUAUUUCAGAGUUUGGUUGGGGGGUUCUCAAUAUGGUGGUUUUCAGUGUUGGGCUUGCAGUGUCACAUGUUGUGUGUUAAACAGCAGGUGGAUAUCUCCACCACGGUGGAGCGGUUCCAGGAGAGGGCUGAUGAGAUGACGGCAUAUCAACUCUCCACCUCUGACAUCAUCACCACCCCUCAUGAGCCUUCCUUCCCCAAUGAUUCUCCACCACCCCCUCCUCCUUCCCUUUUCCCUUCUUAUUCCCCCUCCCAGUCCCCCUCCACCUUACCACUCCACCCAGGACCAGGCCCCUGACAGCACUCCUCAGGGGUUACUUUGCAAACCAAGGGACAACCAACUUCUCUCUGAGGAUAGUCGGUAUCCGACGUGGAGGAUGUGAGGCAGUUUCAGCAGGCGUACGACCUCCUGGGGAACUUCAAUAAUGAGCCAGCAAACAGGGAGCGACCUGAGCAGGAGAUGGUUCUUAUAGGAAGGCCUGGUAGCUUCCUUUAUCUGCUCCUGGAAGUCACAAUGAGGAUUCGCCCUCCUGGAGCAGCCUGGACCGAGGCUCCUGGGAUCUUCUACCUCCUCGUUAAGGUA